UUCSGUAGGUGAACCUGCGGAAGGAUCAUUG
Molecule: ribosomal RNA, 31 nt
Filed under: Quiina zamorensis
Lineage: Eukaryota; Viridiplantae; Streptophyta; Magnoliopsida; Malpighiales; Ochnaceae
Description: partial 18S ribosomal RNA
Source: RNAcentral